Molecule: ribosomal RNA, 291 nt
Filed under: Psychrobacter sp. m2-41
Lineage: Bacteria; Pseudomonadati; Pseudomonadota; Gammaproteobacteria; Moraxellales; Moraxellaceae
Description: partial 16S ribosomal RNA
Rfam family: Bacterial small subunit ribosomal RNA
Source: RNAcentral
GGGGAACUGUAGGGAUACUGCCAGUGACAAAGUGGAGGAAGGCGGGGUGACGUCAAGUCAUCAUGGCCCUUACGACCAGGGCUACACACGUGCUACAAUGGUAGGUACAGAGGGCAGCUACACAGCGAUGUGAUGCGAAUCUCAAAAAGCCUAUCGUAGUCCAGAUUGGAGUCUGCAACUCGACUCCAUGAAGUAGGAAUCGCUAGUAAUCGCGGAUCAGAAUGCCGCGGUGAAUACGUUCCCGGGCCUUGUACACACCGCCCGUCACACCAUGGGAGUGAUUGCACCAGA